Molecule: ribosomal RNA, 1051 nt
Filed under: Listeria monocytogenes
Lineage: Bacteria; Bacillati; Bacillota; Bacilli; Caryophanales; Listeriaceae
Description: partial 23S ribosomal RNA
Rfam family: Bacterial large subunit ribosomal RNA
Source: RNAcentral
GAGAAAGAAAAAUCGAUUUCCUGAGUAGCGGCGAGCGAAACGGAAAGAGCCCAAACCAAGAAGCUUGCUUCUUGGGGUUGUAGGACACUCUAUACGGAGUUACAAAAGAAAGUUAUAAAUGAAGCGGUCUGGAAAGGCCCGCCAAAGACGGUAACAGCCCGGUAGUUGAAAUGGCUUUCCCUCCAGAGUGGAUCCUGAGUACGGCGGAACACGUGAAAUUCCGUCGGAAUCCGGGAGGACCAUCUCCCAAGGCUAAAUACUCCCUAGUGACCGAUAGUGAACCAGUACCGUGAGGGAAAGGUGAAAAGCACCCCGGAAGGGGAGUGAAACAGUUCCUGAAACCGUGUGCCUACAAGUAGUUAGAGCCCGUUAAUGGGUGAUAGCGUGCCUUUUGUAGAAUGAACCGGCGAGUUACGAUUUGUUGCAAGGUUAAGCGGAAAAAGCGGAGCCGUAGCGAAAGCGAGUCUGAAUAGGGCGCAUAAGUAACAGGUCGUAGACCCGAAACCAGGUGAUCUACCCAUGUCCAGGAUGAAGGUAAGGUAAUACUUACUGGAGGUCCGAACCCACGCACGUUGAAAAGUGCGGGGAUGAGGUGUGGGUAGCGGAGAAAUUCCAAUCGAACUUGGAGAUAGCUGGUUCUCUCCGAAAUAGCUUUAGGGCUAGCCUCGAGGUAAAGAGUCAUGGAGGUAGAGCACUGUUUGGACUAGGGGCCCUUCUCGGGUUACCGAAUUCAGAUAAACUCCGAAUGCCAUGUACUUAUACUCGGGAGUCAGACUGCGAGUGAUAAGAUCCGUAGUCGAAAGGGAAACAGCCCAGACCACCAGUUAAGGUCCCCAAAUAUAUGUUAAGUGGAAAAGGAUGUGGGGUUGCUUAGACAACCAGGAUGUUGGCUUAGAAGCAGCCACCAUUGAAAGAGUGCGUAAUAGCUCACUGGUCGAGUGACCCCGCGCCGAAAAUGUACCGGGGCUAAACAUAUUACCGAAACUGUGGAUGAACCUCUUUAGAGGUUCGUGGUAGGAGAGCGUUCUAAGGGCGGUGAAGUCAGACCGGA